UACGUAGGGGGCAAGCGUUGUCCGGAAUUAUUGGGCGUAAAGCGCGCGCAGGCGGUUAAUUAAGUCCGAUGUGAAAGGCUACGGCUCAACCGUAGAGUUGCAUUUGAAACUGGUUAACUUGAGUGCAGGAGAGGUAAGUGGAAUUCCCGGUGUAGCGGUGGAAUGCGUAGAGAUCGGGAGGAACACCAGUGGCGAAGGCGACUUACUGGCCUGCAACUGACGCUGAGGCGCGAAAGCGUGGGGAGCGAACAGG
This 253-nucleotide ribosomal RNA is filed under the name uncultured bacterium. RNAcentral describes it as "partial 16S ribosomal RNA". It matches the Rfam family "Bacterial small subunit ribosomal RNA", at positions 524 to 776 of the family's 1533-position model. The record is from RNAcentral.